AUGCCCGCACCGAUCCCGUUGCUGUGGAAGAUCUCAUGCAUGCCUGCACUGAUCCCGCGGCUGAUUCGUUGGCGGACCCUGGCUCCUCAUUCGCCACCCCCACCGGAGAUCCCGAGGCAGAUCCGAGGCCCACGCCUGCUCCAUGCGCCACGCCUGGCGCCUCCCUAUUGGCCGAGGCCGUUCCACCCAUGCAGCUGCACCAUGCAGGCUCCGCACCGCCUGAUCUCCGCACCUUCGUCUGCACCAUGCAAAUGCAGAUCGACCGCGUUCUCCCCGCGCUUGCAUCACGUCGACGCCGCAAUGAGGUGCCACCCAACUUCACUCCGAGGAGAAGCGGGCGAAUCGCCAAGGCCGAUCGGGGCUUGGACUCCGAGAUGA
This 378-nucleotide ribosomal RNA is filed under the name Triticum aestivum (bread wheat). RNAcentral describes it as "partial small subunit ribosomal RNA". The record is from RNAcentral. Lineage: Eukaryota; Viridiplantae; Streptophyta; Magnoliopsida; Poales; Poaceae.